AGAUGGGCAUUAAAGUUAAAAAUAGAAACAGCUUGCUAAUUUUCUUUAUGGGAUCAGCUAACACUUUCGAAUCGGUGCUCGACCCAGGCCUGGAGCACCGCUUCACGAGGAAGUAAAUCUUCAUUACCGACGAGACGAGCGGCGAGGCGGCACCGCAGCUCCAGGCAGGGCGGCGGCUCCUCCGACACCCGCGUCAUGCCCUUCAGCUUCCAGCAGCAGACGAGCGGCUGAACAGACACUCCCCGGGAUGACUGAACGACAGCCAGGCUGGACUGAAUGAUCCAGCAGUUGCUGCAGGUAUGGCCAGGUGUUGCAACCCUCCAAUAAGCACCUGUACCAAUCUGGAUAGAGAUGUGUAGUUCACAGUGUAAGGACAAUCCAGUUGUCUGUCAAACAUCUGGCACUGUUCCCCAAAAGAGCUGACAAACUCCGAGCCAAGUUGUUUUUUUUUCUUUACACUCUGGCCUAUAGCGCUGGUAGGCUUUCUUCAGGGGCCUGGUGGUCGACCCAAGCCCGUCACGGCGCAGGCAAGUCUUUAUAGCAGCACCAUUUAUUCUUGGCUCAUGCUGCCCGCCGGAGCUCAUUCUUGAUUCACUUGGACAGUUCCUCUAGAGUUGGGGUUGAUAGGUGAUCUUCAGGAUAGCACGUGGGUAGCCUUAUGCCACUUGGCAAUGACUGAAAAAUCCCAGGUGGUAGCAGAGAAUUUGAACCCGCAUUGUCCAGAACUUGGUGAACGCAGAACCUGCACACUAACCAUUCAGCCACUGCCUCUCUGUUCCAACAUGAGUAAAAAAAUGAGAGGCCAGAAGAGAGUGGUUGAUUUCAAAUGGAGAAGUGUCUAGAUAGGCAGGAGGAAAUAGAUGAAGGAAGGCUGCUCUGGAGUUAACCUGCAUAAGGAAUUAGGAUAGUAUAGAGACGAGUAGAACGUUAUGUAAAAAGGGACCACAGUAGAGGUGGAGGCAUGCAGUUAGCAAGCAUAGAAGGGCAAUCAUCAUGAAAAUGUCUGUAGAAGACAGAGGGGCAACAUUGCAGCAGAGUUUGCUUUAGAAGAAGAGAGUUUAGGUUUGACUCCAUCGAGUCCAAAACAGCUAUGUGAGUGAAGCCCCUCCUAUAUGAAAUGCGCUCUCCAUACGAGGACAGACAAGGCCCCUGGAUAUCAUUUGUGAGGGGUAAAAAACUGAAAGACUAAUACAGAACACACAACUUCAAAGAAGCUGAUUUAGGAAGAGGUGAGAUGAAAUUAUGAGGAUAGACCAAAUAUGUUUAUUGUUUAAGUGGACAGCUGAGUAUAGUCAUAGAAUAGGGAACAGAUGUUCGGAAUUCUAUCCCUCUGUUUUUAUAUCGUGUUUCCUUUCAAGCUGAUCUAUCUAUGCUGUGGUAAUCCUGCCACUGUCUUCCUCUAAACCUCUCAGCACCUGUAUUCUGUACGUCUAUUUUAUUUCCCUCUCUGAGGAAAAAGUCAAUUUCUCCGCCUAUCAACUGAACAAAUUUUAUCGUCUAUUCCCUAGUCUUCGACCACACUCAGCAGCCCCCUUCCCCUACACUAAAUAUUCUCUGUCUAUCCUUAACUCAAAACAUUAACUGAAAACUUAUUUCCUCUCUUGCUAAAUCAGAUUCUUCGAGGUUAUGCAUUUGUAUUGUUUUCACCAGCUCUAUUCCCCCUCACACAUGCUGUCCACUUACAAGGGUCUUUUCUGUCCUCAUAUGGAGUAUGACAGAAGUCUUAGACAAAUGGUGGAAAAUUCUGUAGGAUCAAGGUCAUGGGCACGAGAGGAAGUGACAUCUUGGCAUACAUAGAUGCAGCAUCCAGCUUGGAUUGAAAGCUGGGAUGAAGAUAGCAAGAGACAUACAUCACGGCAGCCACUAAUGGACUGGAGUUGUCCAAGAAACCCCCCAAAGAAAGCCUACCAUCACUACCGACGAUUACUGUCAGUAGCCCCAGAGAACCGUGUUUCAGUUAAGAUGAAGAGGUAAAGGAAGAGGAGGUAAAAGAGGAGAGAUGAUGUUCUACAGGAUGGAAACGGAAGCAAAGAUCGUGAAUGUUGCAAAAUUUGGAAAAAAAAGGUGAGUUAUCAGGACAGCUGUGUACUAUAGGUUUGUUAUGUCACUGCACAAUACAUUCAAUAAGCUGUAACUUAAAAUAAUUUGUAUCUUUUGAAACUAGAUGCUUAUAAUAUUUCUCCAGAGGCUGCCUGAGUUAUUACUUAGUACAAUUUUGAAGACCUAUAAACAUUUCCAGCUGUUCUUUACUGCAUAUUAAUAAUGAUUUGUAUUGUUAGAUAACUAUAUCAAAAUUCAAAUCUAGAGACAGCUGCCAUUAAAUUGAGGUUUUGCAUAUUUUUGAGUUUCACUGUAGAAAGUACCAUGAAUCAAUAUAUUUUGUAGACUUUGUUCA
Molecule: long non-coding RNA, 2395 nt
Organism: Eriocheir sinensis (Chinese mitten crab)
Lineage: Eukaryota; Metazoa; Arthropoda; Malacostraca; Decapoda; Varunidae
Exons: 3
Source: RefSeq, a predicted model, not a curated record